This 1224-nucleotide long non-coding RNA is filed under the name Pogona vitticeps (central bearded dragon). Its description in RNAcentral is "lncRNA (ENSPVIG00000001172.1)". Lineage: Eukaryota; Metazoa; Chordata; Lepidosauria; Squamata; Agamidae. The record is from RNAcentral.
AUGGCAGAGGACGUCAGGGGCAGUGAUCUGGUGGAUAUCCUGCAGAAGAGAGGCCAGAAGCAUGGGUGUCCUGAAGGGAACCUAGCUGGAAAGCACCAGCCCAGCCAGAGAAAGGGAUGCCAGAGGGAAAAGAAUGAGACAGAAAUAGAAGGAUUCCUUGAUCCUCAGUCAGGAUACUGGACACGUAACAAACUGGUCGUUGAUGGAAGUGAAAGAACUGACCUCCGAAGUGAAUUCAUUCUUGGAUGUCCUGCAGAGCCUCAGCCGGUCACUUCUGAACCCACUCCUGAGCAAAACACAAGUGAAAGGAACCAUGAAGAAGCCUUUUCAACCUCUGGUAUCAAAAGCUCUGACAGUGAGGAUUUUUACAGCGAUAUCGUCAUUGGGCAAAAGCCUCUCCAGUUCACAGAUCUCCCUCCUAAAGCAUCCGAUGAUGCUGCUCAGGCGGCGGGAUUUGUUGGGACAAGGCUUCUGUCCCCUGAUGCUAGUGGCCCACAAGCCUUGGCAAUACUAAGCGAUGGCACUUUGGGAAGUAGCCGGUCUUACGACGACUGCAGAACCCAACAGUCUUGCAGGGCGAUGGUGGAAUCAAAGAUCUGCAGGGCUGUGAACUGUCUGAGCAUUCAUGGACCAGAUCCUACUGAUCAGCCCAAAGAGCUGAAAGGAAGCUCCAUUCUGCACAGCAGUAAACUCACAACAUACGACUUCUCCAGUGAAAAGGAAGUUCACGACUUGUUCUCUAGUAAGCCAAACAUGCAGAUGUGUAAGGGGAAGUUGAUGUGUCCUGUAGAGGAAACUGUGCAACAAGAACAAACAAACAGAACUAGCAAAAGAGACCCUCAGCAAUCUGACCAUUCUAAAAUGAAGGUUGUAGCAACUGGUGGAGAUAAACAGGGCUUCCUUGACCUCUAUUCUGCAACCGCUCUCUCCUGCAAUAUCCCUGGAUGUGAGUGCCCCACUGUUGGUUCAAAUUACAACAGAGUCCUAGAGGCCAUUCCUAGCUUAUGUGGAACCAGAGGGUAUUCUAGACAUGUUGGAGGGCAACCUAGCUCAUGCUGCACUGCUGCUCCUGAAGCAUCAUAUCAUGGUGUCAUUCCUGCAGAUGCUUUGUGCCAGCCAGAAGGAUGUUCUCUCCCUGCUCGUUCUGCAGGCUAUGAUACCUGUGUUGCACCAGUGAAUGAAUCUAACCCAGAGAGUUAUGUUCUUGUAAACAAAAAUGACUAA